UACACGAGCGGCGAACGGGUGAGUAACACGUGGGUGAUCUGCCUCGCACUCUGGGAUAAGCCUGGGAAACUGGGUCUAAUACCGGAUAUGACCUUACAUCGCAUGGUGUUUGGUGGAAAGAUUUAUCGGUGCGAGAUGGGCCCGCGGCCUAUCAGCUUGUUGGUGGGGUAAUGGCCUACCAAGGCGACGACGGGUAGCCGGCCUGAGAGGGCGACCGGCCACACUGGGACUGAGACACGGCCCAGACUCCUACGGGAGGCAGCAGUGGGGAAUAUUGCACAAUGGGCGAAAGCCUGAUGCAGCGACGCCGCGUGAGGGAUGACGGCCUUCGGGUUGUAAACCUCUUUCGACAGGGACGAAGCGCAAGUGACGGUACCUGUAGAAGAAGCACCGGCCAACUACGUGCCAGCAGCCGCGGUAAUACGUAGGGUGCGAGCGUUGUCCGGAAUUACUGGGCGUAAAGAGCUUGUAGGCGGCUUGUCGCGUCGAUCGUGAAAACUUGGGGCUCAACCCCAAGCUUGCGGUCGAUACGGGCAGGCUUGAGUACUUCAGGGGAGACUGGAAUUCCUGGUGUAGCGGUGAAAUGCGCAGAUAUCAGGAGGAACACCGGUGGCGAAGGCGGGUCUCUGGGAAGUAACUGACGCUGAGAAGCGAAAGCGUGGGUAGCGAACAGGAUUAGAUACCCUGGUAGUCCACGCCGUAAACGGUGGGUACUAGG
RNAcentral lists this ribosomal RNA (718 nucleotides) under Nocardia sp. RNAcentral describes it as "bacterial SSU rRNA". It matches the Rfam family "Bacterial small subunit ribosomal RNA", at positions 88 to 820 of the family's 1533-position model. Lineage: Bacteria; Bacillati; Actinomycetota; Actinomycetes; Mycobacteriales; Nocardiaceae. The record is from RNAcentral.